GGCGGACGGGAGAGUAAUGCCUAGGAAAAUGCCCUGAUGUGGGGGAUAACCAUUGGAAACGAUGGCUAAUACCGCAUGAAGCCUACGGGCCAAAGAGGGGGACCUUCGGGCCUCUCGUGUCAGGAUAUGCCUAGGUGGGAUUAGCUAGUUGGUGAGGUUAGGGCUCACCAAGGCACGAUCCCUAGCUGGUCUGAGUGGAUGAUCAGCCACACUGGAACUGAGACACGGUCCAGACUCCUACGGGAGGCAGCAGUGGGGAAUAUUGCACAAUGGGCGCAAGCCUGAUGCAGCCAUGCCGCGUGUAUGAUGAAGGCCUUCGGGUUGUAAAGUACUUUCAGUCGUGAGGAAGGCGGCGUCGUUAAUAGCGGCGUUGUUUGACGUUAGCGACAGAAGAAGCACCGGCUAACUCCGUGCCAGCAGCCGCGGUAAUACGGAGGGUGCGAGCGUUAAUCGGAAUUACUGCGCGUAAAGCGCAUGCACGUGGUUUGUUAAGUCAGAUGUGAAAGCCCGGGGCUCUACCUCGGAUUAGCAUUUGAAACUGCAGACUAGAGUACUGUAGAGGGGGGUAGAAUUUCAGGUGUAGCGGUGAAAUGCGUAGAGAUCUGAAGCAAUACCGGUCGCGAAGGCGGCCCC
RNAcentral lists this ribosomal RNA (633 nucleotides) under uncultured bacterium. RNAcentral's name for it is "bacterial SSU rRNA". It matches the Rfam family "Bacterial small subunit ribosomal RNA", at positions 97 to 728 of the family's 1533-position model. The record is from RNAcentral.